GGAAGUGUACAUGUCGUGUUUGAUGUAAAAGAAUACAGUAAUGAACUUUCUGCUGCGCUCCUAAAAUGUCUUUAUCUAGACCUUCAGCUGAAAAACAUGGAAAAAAUGAGAAAAACCCAACUGGAAGACAGAGUCCUGAUUUGGAUCGACCAAACAUGAGUGAUCUGAGGAUUGUUCUGUUGGGGAAGAGUUUAUUUGAAAACAUCAGAGUGAGAAACUUUAUCCUGGGUCCAAAUGUGAAGGAGACUG
Paramisgurnus dabryanus is the source of this 249-nucleotide non-coding RNA. NCBI's taxonomy places the organism in Eukaryota, Metazoa, Chordata, Actinopteri, Cypriniformes, Cobitidae. The record is from RefSeq and is a predicted model, not a curated record.